Molecule: ribosomal RNA, 564 nt
Filed under: uncultured bacterium
Lineage: Bacteria
Description: partial 16S ribosomal RNA
Rfam family: Bacterial small subunit ribosomal RNA
Source: RNAcentral
UGGGGAAUAUUGCACAAUGGGCGCAAGCCUGAUGCAGCCAUGCCGCGUGUGUGAAGAAGGCCUUCGGGUUGUAAAGCACUUUCAGCGAGGAGGAAGGUGGUGAACUUAAUACGUUCAUCAAUUGACGUUACUCGCAGAAGAAGCACCGGCUAACUCCGUGCCAGCAGCCGCGGUAAUACGGAGGGUGCAAGCGUUAAUCGGAAUUACUGGGCGUAAAGCGCACGCAGGCGGUUUGUUAAGUCAGAUGUGAAAUCCCCGGGCUCAACCUGGGAACUGCAUUGAAACUGGCAAGCUAGAGUCUCGUAGAGGGGGGUAGAAUUCCAGGUGGUAGCGGUGAAAUGCGUAGAGAUCUGGAAGGAAUACCGGUGGCGAAGGCGGCCCCCUGGACGAAGACUGACCGCUCAGGUGCGAAAGCGUGGGGAGCAAAACAGGAUUAGGAUAACCCUGGUAGUCCACGCUGUAAACGAUGUCGAUUUUGGAGGUUGUGCCCUUGAGGCGUGGCUUCCAGAGCUAACGCGUUAAAUCGACCGCCUGGGGAGUACGGCCGCAAGAUUAAAACUCAAA